Molecule: ribosomal RNA, 253 nt
Filed under: uncultured bacterium
Lineage: Bacteria
Description: partial 16S ribosomal RNA
Rfam family: Bacterial small subunit ribosomal RNA
Source: RNAcentral
UACGUAGGGGGCAAGCGUUGUCCGGAAUCAUUGGGCGUAAAGCGCGUGUAGGCGGCUUGGUAAGUCCGCUCUGAAAGCCCGGGGCUCAACCCCGGGAGGCGGGUGGAUACUGUCAAGCUCGAGUCCGGAAGAGGAGAGUGGAAUUCCUGGUGUAGCGGUGAAAUGCGCAGAUAUCAGGAAGAACACCCGUGGCGAAGGCGGCUCUCUGGGACGGUACUGACGCUGAGACGCGAAAGCGUGGGGAGCGAACAGG